RNAcentral lists this unclassified non-coding RNA (479 nucleotides) under Didymozoidae sp. Nagasaki-001-2007. Its description in RNAcentral is "partial contains 5.8S ribosomal RNA, Internal transcribed spacer 2, 28S ribosomal RNA". The stretch from base 1 to 105 matches the Rfam family "5.8S ribosomal RNA", at positions 49 to 154 of the family's 154-position model. The record is from RNAcentral. Lineage: Eukaryota; Metazoa; Platyhelminthes; Trematoda; Azygiida; Didymozoidae.
CAAACUGUGUGAAUUAAUGUAAAGUGUAGUCUGCUUAGAACAUCGACAUCUUGAACGCAAAUUGCGGCCGUAGCUUUGUCUAUGGCCACGCCUGUCCGAGGGUCGGCUUAAUAAACUAUUCACGACGCUCAAAAAGUCGUGGAUUGGAAGGCUGCCAGCUGGAAUGUCUCUAGGCGUGAUGUCCUCCACAUUUGGUUACUAUGAGGCUUGCACGUAUGAGACUUCCAGAUCUAUGGCUCCUUUCUAAGUUGCCCUGCCGUGGACCUAGUGGUUGAUGACCGUAGGCGUGGAAUGUACAGGGUCGUGGUUCAGUGGUUCAGUAUAUAUUGGUAUAUCUGACACACGUCCUUUGCUUCUCACGUGGUUGUUCAUCCAUUGUCUCACGGUUAGGUUGCUGUUGGUUCGAAGACCAAACAGCAGUCCUCAUUCCUGACCUCGGAUCAGACGGGAAUACCCGCUGAACUUAAGCAUAUCACUAA